UGGUGGGUCAGCAGGAGUGACACGGCGUUGGAUAAAGUCAUAAAUGUAUUGUGCGCACCCAAACAAGAAGAUGGGUAGGAGUUUCCUACCCAACCUUGUUCUAGCAUAAGGAUGUUCUGGUGUUUGAGUAUACACCAAAUCAGAUUAACAGCCAGCCAAAUGGGCGUUCCAAUGUUUUGAAAGUGGUCACAGAAUGUUCUGGUGUUUGACAAUACACCGAACCGGAUAAGCAGCCAACCAAAUGAGCGUUCAAAGAUUUUGAAGACGUCAUAGGAUGUUCCAGUGUUUGAUAAUACACCGAACUAGAUGAACAGCAAGCCAAAUGGGCAUUCAAAGAUUUUGGAAGGUGUCACAAGAUGUUCUAGUGUUUUACAAUACAGCAAGCUAGAUCACUAGCUAGGUAAUUGCGCUUUCGAACAUAUUGAGAUGCCUCAAAAGGAUUUUCCCACAACUACUAUGAUAAAAGGUCUGCAUGCACAUAUUGGUUCAUAUCUUAUACAACAAAUGAGUUCAGAUCAGAUCGACUAAAACAUUAAUUGAUUUCACUUCCUAGUCCGCGUCACUCUCAAGUGCAAAAUUUUCAUCUUCAUCAUGGUAUUGCUAGAUAGUUUUGUCCUCCUCCUCAUUGUCAGAAUUGAAUCUGUCAACAUCAUAUAGAACCUGCUGGCGAAUUGAACUUGAGCCACUAGAAUGACAGUCCACUCCUCC
RNAcentral lists this long non-coding RNA (708 nucleotides) under Setaria viridis. RNAcentral's name for it is "long non-coding RNA (SVIR_LNC010705)". Lineage: Eukaryota; Viridiplantae; Streptophyta; Magnoliopsida; Poales; Poaceae. The record is from RNAcentral.